AGUGAACGCUGGCGGUAGGCCUAACACAUGCAAGUCGAACGGCAGCACAGUAGGAGCUUGCUCUUACGGGUGGCGAGUGGCGGACGGGUGAGGAAUACAUCGGAAUCUACUUUUUCGUGGGGGAUAACGUAGGGAAACUUACGCUAAUACCGCAUACGACCUACGGGUGAAAGCAGGGGAUCUUCGGACCUUGCGCGAUUGAAUGAGCCGAUGUCGGAUUAGCUAGUUGGCGGGGUAAAGGCCCAUCAAGGCGACGAUCCGUAGCUGGUCUGAGAGGAUGAUCAGCCACACUGGAACUGAGACACGGUCCAGACUCCUACGGGAGGCAGCAGUGGGGAAUAUUGGACAAUGGGCGCAAGCCUGAUCCAGCCAUACCGCGUGGGUGAAGAAGGCCUUCGGGUUGUAAAGCCCUUUUGUUGGGAAAGAAAAGCAGCAGGUUAAUACCCCGCUGUUCUGACGGUACCCAAAGAAUAAGCACCGGCUAACUUCGUG
RNAcentral lists this ribosomal RNA (492 nucleotides) under uncultured bacterium. RNAcentral's name for it is "partial 16S ribosomal RNA". It matches the Rfam family "Bacterial small subunit ribosomal RNA", at positions 29 to 507 of the family's 1533-position model. The record is from RNAcentral.